This 224-nucleotide long non-coding RNA is filed under the name Elaeis guineensis (African oil palm). Its description in RNAcentral is "long non-coding RNA (EGUI_LNC044337)". Lineage: Eukaryota; Viridiplantae; Streptophyta; Magnoliopsida; Arecales; Arecaceae. The record is from RNAcentral.
UAUCAUGGUGUACAUAAUAAAUCCUACUACUGAAGCAUGUGAAAUUCUAUUUAUAUGCUCUCUCUCUUGAGUUGUCGAACAAUCUUUUCGAGAGAAAAUUUUCAUGGUCUAUCGAAAGGUAGCCUUUCUUGAAAUUCUUUAUGUUGAACAACUUCAGUACAGAUCUAUGUAUGUGGACUAGGACAAUCUAAGCAACCUCUUCAAUCUAUCUCUAUAGAUCCUCA